This 253-nucleotide ribosomal RNA is filed under the name uncultured bacterium. Its description in RNAcentral is "partial 16S ribosomal RNA". It matches the Rfam family "Bacterial small subunit ribosomal RNA", at positions 524 to 776 of the family's 1533-position model. The record is from RNAcentral.
UACGUAGGUGGCAAGCGUUGUCCGGAAUUAUUGGGCGUAAAGCGCGCGCAGGCGGUCCUUUAAGUCUGAUGUGAAAGCCCACGGCUCAACCGUGGAGGGUCAUUGGAAACUGGGGGACUUGAGUGCAGGAGAGAAGAGUGGAAUUCCACGUGUAGCGGUGAAAUGCGUAGAGAUGUGGAGGAACACCAGUGGCGAAGGCGACUACCUGGCCUGUUCUUGACGCUGAGGCGCGAAAGCCAGGGGAGCAAACGGG